RNAcentral lists this ribosomal RNA (688 nucleotides) under Pseudomonas sp. Its description in RNAcentral is "bacterial SSU rRNA". It matches the Rfam family "Bacterial small subunit ribosomal RNA", at positions 78 to 762 of the family's 1533-position model. Lineage: Bacteria; Pseudomonadati; Pseudomonadota; Gammaproteobacteria; Pseudomonadales; Pseudomonadaceae. The record is from RNAcentral.
GCUUGCUUCUCUUGAGAGCGGCGGACGGGUGAGUAAUGCCUAGGAAUCUGCCUGGUAGUGGGGGAUAACGUUCGGAAACGGACGCUAAUACCGCAUACGUCCUACGGGAGAAAGCAGGGGACCUUCGGGCCUUGCGCUAUCAGAUGAGCCUAGGUCGGAUUAGCUAGUUGGUGAGGUAAUGGCUCACCAAGGCGACGAUCCGUAACUGGUCUGAGAGGAUGAUCAGUCACACUGGAACUGAGACACGGUCCAGACUCCUACGGGAGGCAGCAGUGGGGAAUAUUGGACAAUGGGCGAAAGCCUGAUCCAGCCAUGCCGCGUGUGUGAAGAAGGUCUUCGGAUUGUAAAGCACUUUAAGUUGGGAGGAAGGGCAUUAACCUAAUACGUUAGUGUUUUGACGUUACCGACAGAAUAAGCACCGGCUAACUCUGUGCCAGCAGCCGCGGUAAUACAGAGGGUGCAAGCGUUAAUCGGAAUUACUGGGCGUAAAGCGCGCGUAGGUGGUUUGUUAAGUUGGAUGUGAAAUCCCCGGGCUCAACCUGGGAACUGCAUUCAAAACUGACUGACUAGAGUAUGGUAGAGGGUGGUGGAAUUUCCUGUGUAGCGGUGAAAUGCGUAGAUAUAGGAAGGAACACCAGUGGCGAAGGCGACCACCUGGACUAAUACUGACACUGAGGUGCGAAAGCGU